Molecule: ribosomal RNA, 750 nt
Filed under: uncultured Glomus
Lineage: Eukaryota; Fungi; Glomeromycota; Glomeromycetes; Glomerales; Glomeraceae
Description: eukaryotic LSU rRNA
Rfam family: Eukaryotic large subunit ribosomal RNA
Source: RNAcentral
CGAUAUCAAUAAGCGGAGGAAAAGAAAAUAACAAUGAUUCCCCUAGUAACUGCGAGUGAAGAGGGACAAGCUCAAAUUUUAAAUCUGAUGGGUUCUACUUAUCAGAAUUGUAAUUUGAAGAGACGUUUUCUGUGUCUUGUGUUAAACUAAAUCUUUUGGAACAAGGUAUCAUGGAGGGUGACAGUCCCGUUCAUGGUCAACAUCAAGAUACGUUACGAUACGUUUUCUAAGAGUCGAGUUGUUUGGGAUUGCAGCUCAAAAUGGGAGGUAAAUUUCUCCUAAGGCUAAAUAUUGGCGAGAGACCGAUAGCGAACAAGUACCGUGAGGGAAAGAUGAAAAGAACUUUGAAAAGAGAGUCAAACAGUACGUGAAAUUGUUGAAAGGGAAACGAUUGAAGUCAGUCAUACUAACGGGAAAUCAACCUAUUUGAGUUGUGAAUUUUGGAUUUUGAAGAGUGUAAACCUUCUGGUUCAAAUAUUUGCGCUUUUUGGGCGUCAUUUCUCGUUCGGUAAGUUAACAUCGAUUUUGAAUAUUAUAAAAUGACUAGAGGAAUGUAGCUUCGAUCUCGUAUUGAAGUGUUAUAGCCUUUGGUAGAUGUAAUGAUCAAGAUCGAGGAUUGCAACGAAUACCCUUUGGGCUAUCCGUCUGAUCUCUGAUACGUUGCCUUGGUAACGAAAGCUUGCUUACGGUAUUGAGGUAUAACGGUCAAAAGGUUAGAACGUGAUUACAUUCGUUAAGGAUGUUGACGUA